Molecule: long non-coding RNA, 377 nt
Filed under: Salvia miltiorrhiza (redroot sage)
Lineage: Eukaryota; Viridiplantae; Streptophyta; Magnoliopsida; Lamiales; Lamiaceae
Description: long non-coding RNA (SMIL_LNC000540)
Source: RNAcentral
GUUACUCUCCGUCGCAACAGAGAUUUCGUCUUUCCUCGCAUCAGUUUCGUACUUACUGCUGAAUUGAGCCGUGCAUUUUCUCAAACACUUUGUAGGUAUAUUUGAUUUACGAUUGUUGGUGGCGGCGUCGUUGAGCUUCACGGUGGUCGAUGAAGACGAGGACUCCUCGUAGUCGCUUUCUCUCUCGGAAACGGCUAUCUUAAUAUCAGCUAGCUCUUCCUGCAUGUGUCUGAUUUUCUCUUCGUAUAUCUGAUUCUGUUUGGAUAGCUCCAUAUGCAGAAACUCGUUCUCGCUCCUCAGCCUCUCGUUCUCGGCUUCCAGGCAUCCGAUCUUCCUUCUGGAGCGUUCGAUUUCGGAAUCUUUGUUGGAGAUAACGC